UGGAAAUGGUUUCCAAUAAAUUCCUUACAGUAGCCCAUUCAUCUUUAUUUCUACAGGUUGCAGAUUGUAAUGUUCAGCUUUUUUUAGUCUUGAUAUCGUUGGUACAGCAUCCUCUUGAGCUUUUGUUUGAUUCCAUGCCAGAACAGCUCCAGGUCUCUUUGCAAGAUUAUUCCACUGUAGACGAAAAACUAUCAUGUUUCCACCUUGGCCAUAAAGGUUUUGCUGCUUGAACUCUUUCCUGGACAAACUGACCAACCUGUGGUGUCCAAGCUCAUAAAAGAUUUUAUCUCCCUUGAGACUGCAGCAUGCUAAGAUGCAAUUAACACAAUGAAAUCAGACACUCAAUGAAAUGGAUUACCUGAAGUUGCACUUCUGCCUUGCUCUCCUUUCUGCCCUAUGUUACCUUGUUCACCCUUAUCUCCAGGUGGACCAAGUUUUCCUGGUGGACCUUGAAUUCCCCUGGUUCCUUGGACCCCUGUAAAAAGUCAGGAAUAGUGAGAUACAUCCAGCAUUGUUAUAUUACCUGCAAUGUAGGUUGCACCAAAACAACCAAUUUUUGCUUUCCAAAGUUCUUUAGAGUCAGCCAACCAUAAUGUUUAGAAUCCAAACCCUAAUACAAAAAAAAAUUACAGCAGAUUAUGGUCCUUCAAACAAUUCACCAGACACCCUGUUAGGGACCAAAUUAAGCUUAUGGGACUCAUAACAAUAAGUAAAGCCAGGCAUUUUAAUUUGAAGAAAAAUAAAUAUAUGGCCAACUGCAUUUAUAAGACAGUUUAUAAGACUUUAUUGAUUUCAAUCAAAUGAUCAUAAAGGAACUAGUGAAGUUAGACUUGUGAGGCCAGUAAAACUGGAGAGUCAUCUUAAUGUAUGAAGCCACACUUUGUUCUUGUCCUUAUUCUCAAAAUACGCUUAAAUAAGUCUCUUGUAUGUAGCCUUAUCAUGAAUAUAAUGGCAAGUUUUAUAUUGAAUACUGGUGAAUUCUAGUGUAUUGAUAUUUUAUAUUUGCCAGUGGUUCUGCUUUUUGAUCUGUAAGUCAAGUUUGGUUAAAAAAAAACAGUUUACAAAAUAUUACAGAGAAACAGAUGAUUUAGCAUUUGCGUAAGCUCAUACCUCUCUCAUUUACCGUUUAUUUAGUGGAAUGUACAUACAUUUUUGGGAUUGUCAGCUCAAAUCCUAUUUUAUGAUGCAUUUGAUUACAUGCAAGUGAGCCCCGGAUGACUCAUUUGCUUGUCAUCAAAUGAUAUAUUUUCUGUAUUAAGUGGUUGGUUUCUCUCUUUCCACUAACCAUAGGUGUAAUAAAGUAUCUUGCACCUAACCAUAAUAAGUUGUAUGCUGCAACAACUAUUACACUUCAAAGAUUAACAAAAGGAAAUAAUCAUCAUUCUGUCAAUAGUGAGAAGAAUAUGUUGCUUAAUGAAUUAUUGUUAAGAAUUUGUUUUACUUCUGAAAUCAAAUAUUGAUGCAUUAAGUUGUUUGCAUUAUUUUACUUUGUGCCAUAAUAAAGGCUGAGAAUAAAUUACUAUUAGAUUAUA
Long non-coding RNA from Bombina bombina (fire-bellied toad), 1532 nucleotides. RefSeq lists it as uncharacterized. NCBI's taxonomy places the organism in Eukaryota, Metazoa, Chordata, Amphibia, Anura, Bombinatoridae. The record is from RefSeq and is a predicted model, not a curated record. The transcript is spliced from 4 exons.